Molecule: ribosomal RNA, 492 nt
Filed under: uncultured bacterium
Lineage: Bacteria
Description: partial 16S ribosomal RNA
Rfam family: Bacterial small subunit ribosomal RNA
Source: RNAcentral
AGUGAACGCUGGCGGUAGGCCUAACACAUGCAAGUCGAACGGCAGCACAGUAAGAGCUUGCUCUUACGGGUGGCGAGUGGCGGACGGGUGAGGUAUACAUCGGAAUCUACUUUUUCGUGGGGGAUAACGUAGGGAAACUUACGCUAAUACCGCAUACGACCUACGGGUGAAAGCAGGGGAUCUUCGGACCUUGCGCGAUUGAAUGAGCCGAUGUCGGAUUAGUUAGUUGGCGGGGUAAAGGCCCACCAAGGCGACGAUCCGUAGCUGGUCUGAGAGGAUGAUCAGCCACACUGGAAGUGAGACACGGUCCAGACUCCUACGGGAGGCAGCAGUGGGGAAUAUUGGACAAUGGGCGCAAGCCUGAUCCAGCCAUACCGCGUGGGGGAAGAAGGCCUUCGGGUUGUAAAGCCCUUUUGUUGGGAAGGAAAAGCAGCAGGUUAAUACCCCGCUGUUCUGACGGUACCCAAAGAAUAAGCACCGGCUAACUUCGUG